AUUGAACGCUGGCGGCAGGCUUUACACAUGCAAGUCGAGCGGGGUGAUGGUGCUUGCACUAUCACUUAGCGGCGGACGGGUGAGUAAUGCUUAGGAAUCUGCCUAUUAGUGGGGGACAACAGCUCGAAAGGGAUGCUAAUACCGCAUACGUCCUACGGGAGAAAGCAGGGGAUCACUUGUGACCUUGCGCUAAUAGAUGAGCCUAAGUCGGAUUAGCUAGUUGGUGGGGUAAAGGCCUACCAAGGCGACGAUCUGUAGCGGGUCUGAGAGGAUGAUCCGCCACACUGGGACUGAGACACGGCCCAGACUCCUACGGGAGGCAGCAGUGGGGAAUAUUGGACAAUGGGGGGAACCCUGAUCCAGCCAUGCCGCGUGUGUGAAGAAGGCCUUAUGGUUGUAAAGCACUUUAAGCGAGGAGGAGGCUCUUUUGGUUAAUACCCAAGAUGAGUGGACGUUACUCGCAGAAUAAGCACCGGCUAACUCUGUGCCAGCAGCCGCAGUAA
This 503-nucleotide ribosomal RNA is filed under the name uncultured bacterium. RNAcentral's name for it is "partial 16S ribosomal RNA". It matches the Rfam family "Bacterial small subunit ribosomal RNA", at positions 30 to 523 of the family's 1533-position model. The record is from RNAcentral.